AUUUGAAAUUUGAAAUUUAAACUAGGCCUCAACUAUAUAGUUGGAGAUAUGAGUCUUGGCUUUCUGUGAUAUUAUGUUCCACAGAGCAAUGAUUUUUGUAUUUUUGGAAUACAUUUUGCUAUGCGACUUUUUGUUCUCACUUGCUAAAUGUUGGCAAUACUUUUAGAGAUGGUUUUUGUUUAUCCUAUCAAAGUUAUCAUUUUACUUACCCAACUUCUACUACAUACUCCGAUUCAUCUAUUUAUUAUUAGGAUAUAAAAGCAUACCUCAUCAAGAUAACUAAAUGUCAUUUGUUAUCAUCACUAUCAUAGUUCACUCCACUUAGCUCAACACAACAAUGCACCAAUUUUACUUGUUAGUUUGACUUAAUGAAUCCUUUUCUAGAAAGAUUUCUGAAGAGCAAUAACCUCAGUCAAAUCCAUGGCCAUUAUGCCCUUUCCUACUAACCCUCACAUGCUUAAUUUCCUCAUCCUCUUAUACUCAACUUUGGCUGUGUAUUUUUGUUUAACUGUAAGACCCUAACUAAGCACAAUAAAGGUGAGUGUUGUCCCCUUUUCUCUGUGUAAUGGAUACUUGAGAGUCAAUUUUUGAGCUCGUUAGAUGUGUGUCUUCUUACAUUUUCAUAUUCCUUACUUAUAUUGCUUGCAUGUAAAUCAGGUGCUCAAGGCCAUGCGAGAGUUGGAUUCUACUAAACCUGCCAUUUUUGCUAUGUCAAAUCCAACAUUGAAUGGAGGUCUCAAAACCUUUGACAGCUUUCAAGUCAUUUGACAACCCAAACCGGCUUCAGAUUAUUCGCGUACCUGUCCGCAGCAAGAGUCUGCUGUCAUCUUUCUUCGUAAAACAGAAGAAGACAAAACUGAAGACCAUCUCAUGAAUCCUCACUCAAUGAAGCAAGUCGACUAUACCAUUCAGCAAACCACCCACAUUGUGUGGGUGUAACAGCCUAUGCUUGUUGGUGAUCACUUGAUUCAUCCAUUAAUUGCUUAUAUAUCUCCAAACCUUUCGUUUGGUGAUCGAUAACAAGAAGUGCAUCAUCGUCUUGGUUCGGAUCAGUGUUAUGUUGUAUUCUGUCUUGUAUGUAGGUAUAGUUAACUAACUAGCAGUCCUGUUGUGAAGAUGGUUUAUAUUGAUCAAGCUUUGAUGGUUAACUCUAAUUUCUAUUUCUUGUCCUAAUUAUCUGGGAUUUCAGAUCUGGAAAUUUACUUACUGUUUUCUUUGGAAAAUUAGAGCAGGUCAAGAAUAAUAAUAUUCCUACUUGGUUAAUGCUAAAUAAUAAUAUUUGCUUGAUGUUAGUGCAGCUUAUAUUAUUGAUCAAUUGUAUUUCAUAUUUGAAGACCAUAUCAGAAAAAUCAGGUCCAAAGGACUUAACAGCAACUGGUUGAACUAGAGCGCAAGGAAGCUGAUAUGAAAAGAAAUGCAGCUCUUUCAGCAGCUAAAUUUGCAGAGGCUUGUCAAGAGCCAGGAUUGCAAGUAUGAUCCUGCAUCGCAUGCCACUCUACUGAUGAUGUAUAUUCCUUCAAGAACGAACAAAUUAAGUGUCAACAAAUUAAAGAAGAAAGGGAACACGCUGAAAAGUUCAUGAAAUACCAGAACAAACGCGGAGGAAGAGUGAAACUACACUCUAUAUUGCUGCCCCUUUCCGAAUUUGAUCAUGUUGAGAAGGGUGAUGCAUUGUUUGGUAAGUAGCCAUUUCUUUUACACGUUGUACGGCAAUGUCUGUUACAUAUUCACAA
Molecule: non-coding RNA, 1733 nt
Organism: Camellia sinensis
Lineage: Eukaryota; Viridiplantae; Streptophyta; Magnoliopsida; Ericales; Theaceae
Source: RefSeq, a predicted model, not a curated record